AUUGAACGCUGGCGGCAUGCCUUACACAUGCAAGUCGAACGGCAGCACGGGAGCUUGCUCCUGGUGGCGAGUGGCGAACGGGUGAGUAAUACAUCGGAACGUACCCUGAAGUGGGGGAUAACGUAGCGAAAGUUACGCUAAUACCGCAUAUUCUGUGAGCAGGAAAGAGGGGGAUCGCAAGACCUCUUGCUUUAGGAGCGGCCGAUGUCGGAUUAGCUAGUUGGUGAGGUAAAGGCUCACCAAGGCGACGAUCCGUAGCGGGUCUGAGAGGAUGAUCCGCCACACUGGGACUGAGACACGGCCCAGACUCCUACGGGAGGCAGCAGUGGGGAAUUUUGGACAAUGGGCGCAAGCCUGAUCCAGCCAUGCCGCGUGAGUGAAGAAGGCCUCGGUUGUAAGGUACUACUUCGUCCGGGAGGAAAGUACGUAAUGGUUAAGUAACCUACGUUGCGGAGUG
Molecule: ribosomal RNA, 457 nt
Filed under: uncultured bacterium
Lineage: Bacteria
Description: bacterial SSU rRNA
Rfam family: Bacterial small subunit ribosomal RNA
Source: RNAcentral